RNAcentral lists this ribosomal RNA (460 nucleotides) under uncultured bacterium. RNAcentral's name for it is "partial 16S ribosomal RNA". It matches the Rfam family "Bacterial small subunit ribosomal RNA", at positions 338 to 795 of the family's 1533-position model. The record is from RNAcentral.
CCUACGGGAGGCAGCAGUGAGGAAUAUUGGUCAAUGGACGAGAGUCUGAACCAGCCAAGUAGCGUGAAGGAUGACUGCCCUAUGGGUUGUAAACUUCUUUUAUAAAGGAAUAAAACGAGGCACGUGUGCCUUUUUGCAUGUACUUUAUGAAUAAGGAUCGGCUAACUCAGUGCCAGCAGCCGCGGUAAUACGGAGGAUCCGAGCGUUAUCCGGAUUUAGUGGGUUUAAAGGGAGCGUAGAUGGGUUGUUAAGUCAGUUGUGAAAGUUUGCGGCUCCACCGUAAAAUUGCAAUUGAUACUGGCAGUCUUGAGUACAGUUGAGGUAGGUGGAAUUCGUGGUGUAGCGGUGAAAUGCUUAGAUAUCACGAAGAACCCCGAUUGCGAAGGCAGCUUACUAAACUGUGACUGACAUUGAUGCUCGAAAGUGUGGGUAUCAAACAGGAUUAGAUACCCGAGUAGUC